RNAcentral lists this unclassified non-coding RNA (180 nucleotides) under Oryza sativa (Asian cultivated rice). RNAcentral's name for it is "partial microRNA MIR446l precursor". The record is from RNAcentral. Lineage: Eukaryota; Viridiplantae; Streptophyta; Magnoliopsida; Poales; Poaceae.
GCUAAAAAAUAACUAAUUGCAUAGAUUACGACUAAUUUGCGAGACGAAUCUUUUAAGCCUAAUUGCUCCAUGAUUUGACAAUGUAGUGCUACAGUAAACAUUGCUAAUGACGAAUUAAUUAGGCUUAAUAAAUUCAUCUCGCGGUUUACUAACAGAUUCUGUAAUUGGUUUUUUUAUUAG